This 328-nucleotide ribosomal RNA is filed under the name uncultured eukaryote. RNAcentral's name for it is "partial 18S ribosomal RNA". It matches the Rfam family "Eukaryotic small subunit ribosomal RNA", at positions 1470 to 1796 of the family's 1831-position model. The record is from RNAcentral.
CCCUUAGAUGUCCUGGGUCGCACGCGCGCUACACUGAUGCAUGCAACGAGUUUAUAACCUUGGCCUGAAAGGUCUGGGUAAUCUUUUGAACGAGCAUCGUGAUAGGGAUAGAUUAUUGCAAUUGUUAAUCUUGAACGAGGAAUUCCUAGUAAACGCGAGUCAUCAGCUCGCAUUGAUUACGUCCCUGCCCUUUGUACACACCGCCCGUCGCACCUACCGAUUGAAUGGUUCGGUGAAGAUCUCGGACUUCGAUAUUUAUUCUUUAUUGAGUUUAUAUUGUGGGAAGUUAUCUAAACCUCAUCAUUUAGAGGAAGGUGAAGUCGUAACA